CUCUCUCGCGGCGGUGUUCAGUAUGGCUGUUUCUCGGUUCUGUGCGGCUCGGUACCGGUUUAAUCCGUGUUUUAGCGAAACAGCGAUGGAUCUGACGUAAAAACAGAGGAACGGUGGGCCGGUGACCCUCUGAUUUCCCCCUAUACCGGAGUUCACCAUGUGUGGAUCUGAUUGGCUCCCUGAUCCUGGUGAGUAGCUCUUCACUGAGUUGAUGGUGAACUGGUCCAGUGGUUGUCAGCUGUGCAGGCGUGUACCGUGCCUGAGCGAGUGUUACUCUGCUGGUAAAGGAAGGCUGUGCCGUUUGGGCUCGGCUCAGGUGUUGCUGUUUUAGUGAUAUCCUGACGCUGUGCUGUGGUGGAGCCUUACCCACUCUGAGAGUGGGCUGCUCCCUCACCGGUGGGGGCCGCCCUAGUCUGUGGGCGAGUCUUCACUUCAUUCAAGAAUGCCUGCUGUUACCAGCUGAAGUGGAAAAGGUGGGUAACAGGCUGACUGACUCACUAGGGCUGUGUCCAGAAACUCAAAAUACCAGUAUUGUGCUGAAUUCAGCACCCCUGCCAGGAAAAACACUCCCUCAGCAGUGCAUAUUGAUGAGUGAAGAUAAUUGCAUUAACUUUGCUUAGAAAUGUGCUCCCGAGAGAGAGUGCUUUUCAUGGCAGGGGUGCUGAGUUUGGCACGACACCCGUAUACCUCUUUUCCUACUGAUCCUCUCUGAACUGGAAACUGAUUUUGUGGCACAUCUCGCUGCCUGUCCAGAUAACAUGAGAUGAAAGAAUCUGCUUAAAAUCCUCCUCAGAGAUCAUCCUUCCCUCAAAGACCUUUAGGGAUUUUCAAAUGACAUCAUUGGCCACACCCACUUUUAUUUUAAGUAUAUAAUAAAAAAUGUAAUAAGAUUAAUGUAAGGCUUCUA
This 907-nucleotide long non-coding RNA is filed under the name Astyanax mexicanus (Mexican tetra). RNAcentral describes it as "lncRNA (ENSAMXG00005005570.1)". The stretch from base 224 to 428 matches the Rfam family "Small nucleolar RNA SNORA74". Lineage: Eukaryota; Metazoa; Chordata; Actinopteri; Characiformes; Acestrorhamphidae. The record is from RNAcentral.